ACGGGAGGCAGCAGUGGGGAAUAUUGCACAAUGGGGGAAACCCUGAUGUAGCAACGCCGCGUGAAGGAAGACGGUCUUCGGAUUGUAAACUUUUGUUCUUAGUGAAGAUAAUGACGGUAGCUAAGGAGGAAGCCACGGCUAACUACGUGCCAGCAGCCGCGGUAAUACGUAGGUGGCAAGCGUUGUCCGGAAUUACUGGGUGUAAAGGGAGCGCAGGCGGGAAAUCAAGUUGGAUGUGAAAUGUCGGGGCUUAACCCCGGAACUGCAUCCAAAACUGAUUUUCUUGAGUGAAGUAGAGGUAGGCGGAAUUCCGAGUGUAGCGGUGAAAUGCGUAGAUAUUCGGAGGAACACCAGUGGCGAAGGCGGCCUACUGGGCUUUAACUGACGCUGAGGCUCGAAAGUGUGGGGAGCAAACAGGAUUAGAUACCCUGGUA
RNAcentral lists this ribosomal RNA (434 nucleotides) under uncultured bacterium. RNAcentral describes it as "partial 16S ribosomal RNA". It matches the Rfam family "Bacterial small subunit ribosomal RNA", at positions 341 to 792 of the family's 1533-position model. The record is from RNAcentral.